This 465-nucleotide long non-coding RNA is filed under the name Brassica napus (rape). Its description in RNAcentral is "long non-coding RNA (BNAP_LNC026784)". Lineage: Eukaryota; Viridiplantae; Streptophyta; Magnoliopsida; Brassicales; Brassicaceae. The record is from RNAcentral.
AGAGAGGGUGGAGGAGAGGGAGGGGGAGAGAGGGUGGAGGGAGAACGGGCGGGGGAGAGGGUGGAGAAGAGCGGGCGGUGAGGAGAGAGAGAAGGUGGAGAAGACAACGGGCGGUGGAGAAGGAGGGGGAGAGAGGGUGGAGAGAGAACGGGCGGGGGAGAGGGUGGAGAAGAACGGGCGGUGAGGAGAGAGAAGGUGGAGAAGAUAGCGGGCGUGGGAGAGGGUGAGAGGGCGAGUGAGAGAGAGAGAGGGCGAGUGAGAGAGAGAGAAAGAGAGGGGCGAGAGAGGAGUGAGAGAGACGAUAAAGAGGAGAGAGAGAGAGAGAGAGCGGACGAGAGAAAGAAAGAGGGCUGGGAGAGAGGGCGGGGCGAGGGAGAGAGCUGGGAAAGAGAGAGCUGGGAAAGAGAGAGUGCGGGGAGCGGGCGAUAGAGAGAGGGUGAGGAGGGCGGGGCGAGGGAGAGAGAG